RNAcentral lists this ribosomal RNA (250 nucleotides) under uncultured bacterium. Its description in RNAcentral is "partial 16S ribosomal RNA". It matches the Rfam family "Bacterial small subunit ribosomal RNA", at positions 779 to 1034 of the family's 1533-position model. The record is from RNAcentral.
UAGAUACCCUGGUAGUCCACGCCGUAAACGAUGAUUACUCGUUUUUGGGUUUUAGGAUUCAGAGACUAAGCGAAAGUGAUAAGUAAUCCACCUGGGGAGUACGUUCGCAAGAAUGAAACUCAAAGGAAUUGACGGGGGCCCGCACAAGCGGUGGAGCAUGUGGUUUAAUUCGAUGAUACGCGAGGAACCUUACCAAGACUUAAAUGGGAAAUGACAGAUUUAGAAAUAGAUCCUUCUUCGGACAUUUUUC